UACGGGGGCCCCAAGCGUUGUCCGGUUUUAUUUGGCGUAAAGAGUUCUGUAGGCGGUAUUGUAAGUUAUCAGUUAAAUUUUCAGGCCUAACCUGAAAAUCGCUGCUAAUACUGCAAUACUAGAGGAAGACAGGGGAGAGUGGAACGCAUGGUGUAGUGGUGGAAUACGUUGAUAUCAUGCGGAACAUCGAAGGCGAAGGCAGCUCUCUGGGUCUUUCCUGACGCUAAGAGACGAAAGCGUGGGUAGCAAAACGG
This 254-nucleotide unclassified non-coding RNA is filed under the name uncultured Patescibacteria group bacterium. Its description in RNAcentral is "contains 16S-23S intergenic spacer region". It matches the Rfam family "Bacterial small subunit ribosomal RNA", at positions 524 to 776 of the family's 1533-position model. The record is from RNAcentral.